Molecule: transfer RNA, 71 nt
Filed under: Bos taurus (domestic cattle)
Lineage: Eukaryota; Metazoa; Chordata; Mammalia; Artiodactyla; Bovidae
Also listed under: 3 other names
Rfam family: tRNA
About the family: Transfer RNA (tRNA) molecules are approximately 80 nucleotides in length. Their secondary structure includes four short double-helical elements and three loops (D, anti-codon, and T loops). Further hydrogen bonds mediate the characteristic L-shaped molecular structure. tRNAs have two regions of fundamental functional importance: the anti-codon, which is responsible for specific mRNA codon recognition, and the 3' end, to which the tRNAs corresponding amino acid is attached (by aminoacyl-tRNA synthetases). tRNAs cope with the degeneracy of the genetic code in two manners: having more than one tRNA (with a specific anti-codon) for a particular amino acid; and 'wobble' base-pairing, i.e. permitting non-standard base-pairing at the 3rd anti-codon position.
Source: Rfam by way of RNAcentral
CCCUGGUAGCUCUGCUGAUAAAGAAUCUGCCUGCAAUGCAGGAGGCCCUGGUUCAAUUCCUGGAUCAGGAA